This 1018-nucleotide ribosomal RNA is filed under the name uncultured bacterium. RNAcentral describes it as "bacterial SSU rRNA". It matches the Rfam family "Bacterial small subunit ribosomal RNA", at positions 357 to 1376 of the family's 1533-position model. The record is from RNAcentral.
AGGAAUAUUGGUCAAUGGGCGAGAGCCUGAACCAGCCAAGUAGCGUGCAGGAUGACGGCCCUAUGGGUUGUAAACUGCUUUUAUAAGGGAAUAAAGUGAGUCUCGUGAGACUUUUUGCAUGUACCUUAUGAAUAAGGACCGGCUAAUUCCGUGCCAGCAGCCGCGGUAAUACGGAAGGUCCGGGCGUUAUCCGGAUUUAUUGGGUUUAAAGGGAGCGUAGGCCGGAGAUUAAGCGUGUUGUGAAAUGUAGACGCUCAACGUCUGCACUGCAGCGCGAACUGGUUUCCUUGAGUACGCACAAAGUGGGCGGAAUUCGUGGUGUAGCGGUGAAAUGCUUAGAUAUCACGAAGAACUCCGAUUGCGAAGGCAGCUCACUGGAGCGCAACUGACGCUGAAGCUCGAAAGUGCGGGUAUCGAACAGGAUUAGAUACCCUGGUAGUCCGCACGGUAAACGAUGGAUGCCCGCUGUUGGUCUGAACAGGUCAGCGGCCAAGCGAAAGCAUUAAGCAUCCCACCUGGGGAGUACGCCGGCAACGGUGAAACUCAAAGGAAUUGACGGGGGCCCGCACAAGCGGAGGAACAUGUGGUUUAAUUCGAUGAUACGCGAGGAACCUUACCCGGGCUUGAAUUGCAGAGGAAGGAUUUGGAGACAAUGACGCCCUUCGGGGUCUCUGUGAAGGUGCUGCAUGGUUGUCGUCAGCUCGUGCCGUGAGGUGUCGGCUUAAGUGCCAUAACGAGCGCAACCCCUCUCCUUAGUUGCCAUCAGGUCAAGCUGGGCACUCUGGGGACACUGCCACCGUAAGGUGUGAGGAAGGUGGGGAUGACGUCAAAUCAGCACGGCCCUUACGUCCGGGGCUACACACGUGUUACAAUGGCAGGUACAGAGAGACGGUCCCUUGCAAAAUGGAUCAAAUCCUUAAAGCCUGUCUCAGUUCGGACUGGGGUCUGCAACCCGACCCCACGAAGCUGGAUUCGCUAGUAAUCGCGCAUCAGCCAUGGCGCGGUGAAUACGUUCCCG